GUAUGCACCUGUGUAUGUGUAGCGGGGUAAAAGUCGCUUGUCACUGUCACCCCGGUGCCUUUUCACUGCUCCACAAUAAAGUGUGAUAUGUGCUAAACCCGAGUCAGUCAGAAUUAGCUGGGCAGCUUUUGAAGGUUCUACUGUCCCCCCCCCCCCUAUACUGCACUGCUGGUACUGCACGUGGAACGCUGCCACUUUUCUUCAAUCUUUUAGAUACAAUGGAACUUAGAAGCUGCACAGUUAUCAAUAACCUUUAGUUACUGUAAGAAGGUAACCCCGCUGGUUUCUCGGCAUUUCAUCUCACGUGACGGUUCGCUACACUCAUACCUACUGCAAGCCCCAAACUGAGAAGUUCCUUAUACCUCGGGCAUGACAUCUGGCGGGUCCUGCCUACUGAUAUCGUACACCUUGACCAGCGGUCAUUACAGGUUUGGUCAGAAAGAAACGGACUCUACAGAGAAGAUCUUUAUUGAUCGGUUUCCUAAUCGAAUUCUUUAAGCAAACACACCUCUGAUCAGAUUAGACCGCAGUUGCCAUGACGAUAGGUUUCUCCCAAGUAGGGAAGGUCCAUCAACGACAACCAGGUUUCACGUCAGCUUAAAUUCAAACUUGCUGAGGCCCAGCAGUCGCAGACAGAGUCAUAAGGAAACCAUUCUUUCUGACGCAGCACAACGCUGCCGCAGCCCCGCUUCAUGGGUGGUGAUGGGGCCGUGGUUCUUCGGUAGCUGCCCGUUAUUGAACAUCAGCAGAUCGAGAUUCGCCCGAGUUAUUCUUUUCCUCUUGAUAUCAAGUAACCUACAAG
Molecule: long non-coding RNA, 802 nt
Organism: Limulus polyphemus (Atlantic horseshoe crab)
Lineage: Eukaryota; Metazoa; Arthropoda; Merostomata; Xiphosura; Limulidae
Exons: 3
Source: RefSeq, a predicted model, not a curated record